CGUGAGACAGUUCGGUCCCUAUCUGCCGUGGGCGCUGGAGAAUUGAGGGGGGCUGCUCCUAGUACGAGAGGACCGGAGUGGACGCAUCACUGGUGUUCGGGUUGUCAUGCCAAUGGCACUGCCCGGUAGCUAAAUGCGGAAGAGAUAAGUGCUGAAAGCAUCUAAGCACGAAACUUGCCCCGAGAUGAUUUCUCCCUGAGACUAUAAGUCUCCUGAAGGAACGUUGAAGACGACGACGUUGAUAGGCCGGGUGUGUAAGCGCAGCGAUGCGUUGAGCUAACCGGUACUAAUGAACCGUGAGGCUUAACCUUA
Molecule: ribosomal RNA, 312 nt
Filed under: Klebsiella quasipneumoniae
Lineage: Bacteria; Pseudomonadati; Pseudomonadota; Gammaproteobacteria; Enterobacterales; Enterobacteriaceae
Also listed under: 1 other name
Description: 23S rRNA. Bacterial LSU
Rfam family: Bacterial large subunit ribosomal RNA
Source: RNAcentral